GACGUAGGGCGCGAGCGUUGUCCGGAUUUAUUGGGCGUAAAGAGCUCGUAGGCGGUCUGUCACGUCGGCUGUGAAAACCUGGGGCUCAACUCCGGGCCUGCAGCCGAUACGGGCAGACUAGAGUUCGGCAGGGGAGACUGGAAUUCCUGGUGUAGCGGUGAAAUGCGCAGAUAUCAGGAGGAACACCUGUGGCGAAAGCGGCUCACUGGACCACAACUGACGCUGAGGCGCGAAAGCUAGGGGAGCAAACAGG
RNAcentral lists this ribosomal RNA (253 nucleotides) under uncultured bacterium. RNAcentral describes it as "partial 16S ribosomal RNA". It matches the Rfam family "Bacterial small subunit ribosomal RNA", at positions 524 to 776 of the family's 1533-position model. The record is from RNAcentral.